AGUGAACGCUGGCGGUAGGCCUAACACAUGCAAGUCGAACGGCAGCACAGUAAGAGCUUGCUCUUACGGGUGGCGAGUGGCGGACGGGUGAGGAAUACAUCGGAAUCUACUUUUUCGUGGGGGAUAACGUAGGGAAACUUACGCUAAUACCGCAUACGACCUACGGGUGAAAGCAGGGGAUCUUCGGACCUUGCGAGAGUGAAUGAGCCGAUGUCGGAUUAGCUAGUUGGCGGGGUAAAGGCCCACCAAGGCGACGAUCCGUAGCUGGUCUGAGAGGAUGAUCAGCCACACUGGAACUGAGACACGGUCCAGACUCCUACGGGAGGCAGCAGUGGGGAAUAUUGGACAAUGGGCGCAAGCCUGAUCCAGCCAUACCGCGUGGGUGAAGAAGGCCUUCGGGUUGUAAAGCCCUUUUGUUGGGAAAGAAAAGCAGCAGGUUAAUACCCCGCUGUUCUGACGGUACCCAAAGAAUAAGCACCGGCUAACUUCGUG
Molecule: ribosomal RNA, 492 nt
Filed under: uncultured bacterium
Lineage: Bacteria
Description: partial 16S ribosomal RNA
Rfam family: Bacterial small subunit ribosomal RNA
Source: RNAcentral